RNAcentral lists this ribosomal RNA (464 nucleotides) under uncultured Klebsiella sp. Its description in RNAcentral is "bacterial SSU rRNA". It matches the Rfam family "Bacterial small subunit ribosomal RNA", at positions 338 to 795 of the family's 1533-position model. The record is from RNAcentral. Lineage: Bacteria; Pseudomonadati; Pseudomonadota; Gammaproteobacteria; Enterobacterales; Enterobacteriaceae.
CCUACGGGUGGCAGCAGUGGGGAAUAUUGCACAAUGGGCGCAAGCCUGAUGCAGCCAUGCCGCGUGUGUGAAGAAGGCCUUCGGGUUGUAAAGCACUUUCAGCGGGGAGGAAGGCGGUGAGGUUAAUAACCUCAUCGAUUGACGUUACCCGCAGAAGAAGCACCGGCUAACUCCGUGCCAGCAGCCGCGGUAAUACGGAGGGUGCAAGCGUUAAUCGGAAUUACUGGGCGUAAAGCGCACGCAGGCGGUCUGUCAAGUCGGAUGUGAAAUCCCCGGGCUCAACCUGGGAACUGCAUUCGAAACUGGCAGGCUAGAGUCUUGUAGAGGGGGGUAGAAUUCCAGGUGUAGCGGUGAAAUGCGUAGAGAUCUGGAGGAAUACCGGUGGCGAAGGCGGCCCCCUGGACAAAGACUGACGCUCAGGUGCGAAAGCGUGGGGAGCAAACAGGAUUAGAACCCUAGUAGUC